GACGAACGCUGGCGGCGUGCCUAAUACAUGCAAGUCGAACGAGAGCGACCGGUGCUUGCACUGGUCAAUCUAGUGGCGAACGGGUGAGUAACACGUGGGUAACCUGCGCAUCAGAGGGGGAUAACAUCCGGAAACGGAUGCUAAAACCGCAUAGGUCUUCGAGCCGCAUGGCUUGAAGAGGAAAAGAGGCGCAAGCUUCUGCUGAUGGAUGGACCCGCGGUGCAUUAGCUAGUUGGUGAGGUAACGGCUCACCAAGGCCGUGAUGCAUAGCCGACCUGAGAGGGUGAUCGGCCACAUUGGGACUGAGACACGGCCCAAACUCCUACGGGAGGCAGCAGUAGGGAAUCUUCCGCAAUGGACGCAAGUCUGACGGAGCAACGCCGCGUGAGUGAAGAAGGUUUUCGGAUCGUAAAACUCUGUUGUUAGAGAAGAACAAGUGCUAGAGUAACUGUUAGCGCCUUGACGGUAUCUAACCAGAAAGCCACGGCUAACUACGUG
Molecule: ribosomal RNA, 498 nt
Filed under: uncultured bacterium
Lineage: Bacteria
Description: partial 16S ribosomal RNA
Rfam family: Bacterial small subunit ribosomal RNA
Source: RNAcentral